This is a long non-coding RNA of Cryptotermes secundus, 403 nucleotides long. RefSeq lists it as uncharacterized. The transcript has 3 exons. Lineage: Eukaryota; Metazoa; Arthropoda; Insecta; Blattodea; Kalotermitidae. The record is from RefSeq and is a predicted model, not a curated record.
UCAGGCAGCCAAGAGGACAUCUUCUUGCUAUAUGGGACAUCAUUUACACAACGAGAGUGGAAAUACAUAGCGUAUUUUGAAUGGACAUUUACAGUGCCACAACCGAGGCUCUUAGACGCCGGCUUCUCACCGUGGCGUACUCUGUCCAAUUUCAUCGUGUGGAAUGUGUGGUGGACAAAGUUGAACUGAGAUUGUACACCAUGCAACAUAUCGUGUCACAUGCAGCGAAGAACUCAGCAGGAAGAAGCAACACGUGUGCGCAUUCGAGAGACCUACACAUGAAACAGCAGCAACAACAGAACGCAGCAGUUUUCCCAUUAGAUAUAAUCUAACACCUGAUGAUGACCAUACUGGCCGAAACAUGGUGUAACCUUUAAAUUUUAAAUUUAAAAAUUCACAUUUU